RNAcentral lists this long non-coding RNA (1550 nucleotides) under Triticum aestivum (bread wheat). RNAcentral describes it as "long non-coding RNA (TAES_LNC001915)". Lineage: Eukaryota; Viridiplantae; Streptophyta; Magnoliopsida; Poales; Poaceae. The record is from RNAcentral.
UCCUCCGCUGUCGCAAACGCCCAACCCUCUCUCCAAGGCCACCGCCCCCUGCUUCCUCCUCACACUCUAGGGCGUGAGUUGGGAGCUCCUCUCCCAUAGCAAUACACACCCUGACUAAUCUGUAGAUAACAAAACAAUACUCCAUAGCAGUGCACAUAAUCUAUGUGUAAAUCAUCAAGUUUACGGCAUUAGUGUGAACCCACCUAGUUUUCAACUCGCCAAGCAGUCAUCACAAUUCUUGCAGGCAUAAUGAUGAGCAAAGACAGAAAGGAAUCCAAGCAGACAAUGAAUCCUGUGACAAUUAGCUGCAGGAUUGAUCACAAUCAAAUAUCUCCCUGUUAUUGCAGAACAUGCUACAUCUAGAGUUACUAAACUGAAUCAUUUAGCUAUCUUUUGAAUGCGGUAAUCGAAUUCAUCCUUUUGAAGGUUCAAAGGAAUUGUCUAAUACAUUAUUUUUGUUAAUUUAUUAAGUACUCCCAUAAUCAUACCACUUGUAUCUAUCCUUAUCUUAACAAGGAUACGAAUUUAAUCAUAUUCAUUUCAGUUAAAAUAUGUGGUGAUAACAUGGUUCCAGAAAUAUUACAGUAACUGAUGCAUAUUGGAUUUGUCUCAAGCAAUGCUGGCAAACUAUUCCAAAUAGUUUAGAAUGGCCUGAAAUUUGAAAUAAUUAGAAUGACCCUAAAAUUACAAAAAAAAUAUCAAAUAUAUAGGGUACAAAGAAGGGAACAUAUUUGCAAGUGAGAUAUGAAGUAUCUAAAUGGUGAAUUGUUAUGAUGCUCGAUUUCUACAGUAUCACAUAGUUGAAAAGAGGUGUAAACGCAUACAUUGAACUAAUUUAGUGUGCAAUAGGAAAUCUGACUAAAAGUGGUUUUCAUCUAUGGCCACUACAAAACAACAAUUGUUAGGAGCUGGACAGUUAAAAAGAAAUGCAAAUCCACAUGCUGGUAAUGGUAUCUUUUAAAGGUUUUCAUAAAAAAUAAAUGAACAGAGUACCUUAGCGGUUUUAAUUAUUUGGUUCGACUUUCUGACCUACUAUUUCCACCCAUUUGUAUGCUGGUUAUGAUAUCUUUUAAAAGUUUCCAUACAAAAAUGAGCAAAGUACCUCACUGGUUUUAAUUAUUUGGUUCGACUUUCUAAGUUACUAUUUCCACCCAUUUGUAUCGUCUUGCACAAGUCGUUUGAUGAGCUUAUGGAGAAUCAGUGCAUCCUUAUUUUCUUACUUAGAAAAUGCAGGUUAUGAUAUGAUUAUCUUCAGGUUUUCUAACAAUCUUUUAUAUGUUCCAACUAAAACCAUGGUGCCAGUCUCAUGAUCCUCCAAAUUUGGCCGGGCGCAAAAUCAGCGAACUUAUAAUCAACACUAAUGAAACAACAUCACAACAUGAAAGAGAUGUGCAAAAAACUAAAAUACUAUGUGCUGAAAUCUAAACGAACAGAAAUCUAUACCUCUAAGCAUUUUGUUGUUCUCCUUGAUGUACUUGUCCUGUCCCAGUCCAGCGACUCGUCCUUCUCCAGUUUCUUCACAACACCAUUUGCCUUCCGUUGAGGUAAAG